GAUGAAGAACGCAGCGAAAUGCGAUAAGUAAUGUGAAUUGCAGAAUUCAGUGAAUCAUCGAAUCUUUGAACGCACAUUGCGCCCCCUGGUAUUCCGGGGGGCAUGCCUGUCCGAGCGUCAUUACAACCCUCAAGCUCAGCUUGGUAUUGGGCCCCGCCGCUCCGGCGGGCCCUAAAGUCAGUGGCGGUGCCGUCCGGCUCCGAGCGUAGUAAUUCUUCUCGCUCUGGAGGUCCGGUCGUGUGCUCGCCAGCAACCCCCAAUUUUUUUCAGGUUGACCUCGGAUCAGGUAGGGAUACCCGCUGAACUUAAGCAUAUCAUAAGCGGAGGA
Molecule: unclassified non-coding RNA, 328 nt
Filed under: soil metagenome
Description: partial contains 5.8S ribosomal RNA, internal transcribed spacer 2, and large subunit ribosomal RNA
Rfam family: 5.8S ribosomal RNA (bases 1-120)
Source: RNAcentral